GCCCUUGUGGUGUAGCGGUUUGCACACUCGGCGCGUAUUCGAGAGGUCCAGGUUCGAGUCCCGGCGAGGGCU
RNAcentral lists this transfer RNA (72 nucleotides) under Stegodyphus mimosarum. It matches the Rfam family "tRNA". Rfam says of the family: Transfer RNA (tRNA) molecules are approximately 80 nucleotides in length. Lineage: Eukaryota; Metazoa; Arthropoda; Arachnida; Araneae; Eresidae. The record is from Rfam by way of RNAcentral.